Molecule: long non-coding RNA, 796 nt
Filed under: Cyanistes caeruleus (blue tit)
Lineage: Eukaryota; Metazoa; Chordata; Aves; Passeriformes; Paridae
Description: lncRNA (ENSCCEG00000005249.1)
Source: RNAcentral
UGGAUGCUGCUAAUGCUUCAGACAGCUGCUGGACUUUGUCAAGUUGUGUUGUAAAGAAUCCAGUUGCAGGAUUUCUUGGUUUGUUUAUGCUUUAUUACUGUGUUAUUUAUCUUUAAUAUACUUUUAAUAUUUGCUACACUUCAAUUUCAUUCUUGCAGAUGGGAGAUUGAACGGGCCAGGAGCUACAUUAUGUAACAGCCCAAACCACAGAGCAAAAGAUGCUAAAUAUCACUGCAUGACUAAUGAAGAAUAUCUCAAUCACCUUAAUGAUAUACUGAUGGAUGUCUGUGGGGUAAAUAACAUCGAGUUUUGAAUUUUCAAGGGUUUGGCAGUGAAGGAAAUGGCAUUAUACAGCCAAGGGACGUGAGGAAGUUCUUGUUCCCAUUUGGCAUUCCAAUCGCCCUGGAAGGAUUGAAGCAGCUUUGGGCAAGCUUAGGAAUCAGCAUUCAUGACAGCAAGCUCUCUUAUUUUGAUUUCCUGAGAGCAAUUGAGGAUGGCAGAGCAUCUGAAUACCAGCAGAAACAAAAGCAGGCUGCACCACCUGCAAGCUUUGCAGAGCUCAGCUUAGAACAAACCCUAAUAAAGAUAAAGGAAACAGUUACGUCAUCUUAGGAUUUGUUGUAUAAGGUAAGUUUCAUCUUAUUUAAUGUCUAUUUUUUUUCUGCCUGGCUGGGUACUAUGCCAAAGGCUUCAAAACUUUACUGCUAUUGGGUGCUACCAGCAACCUUGGCCUGUGUAGAAAUACCAUCUUCUGGCAACUGUAGGCUUCUUAAUUGAUUGUAUUCUGGAAAUUCCA